GAUGAACGCUGGCGGCGUGCCUAAUACAUGCAAGUCGAGCGAACAGACGAGGAGCUUGCUCCUCUGACGUUAGCGGCGGACGGGUGAGUAACACGUGGAUAACCUACCUAUAAGACUGGGAUAACUUCGGGAAACCGUAGCUAAUACCGGAUAAUAUAUUGAACCGCAUGGUUCAAUAGUGAAAGACGGUUUUGCUGUCUCUUAUAGAUGGAUCCUCGCCGCAUUAGCUAGUUGGUAAGGUAACGGCUUACCAAGGCAACGAUGCGUAGCCGACCUGAGAGGGUGAUCGGCCAAACUGGAACUGAGACACGGACCAGACUCCUAAGGGAGGCAGCAGUAGGGAAUAUUCCGCAAUGGGCGAAAGAAUGACGGAGCAACGCCGCGGGAGUGAUGAAGGUCUUCGGAUCGUAAAACUCUGUUAUUAGGGAAGAAAAAAUGUGUAAGUAAAUAUGCACGUCUUGACGGUAACUAAUCAGAAAGCCACGGCUAACUACGUG
This 497-nucleotide ribosomal RNA is filed under the name uncultured bacterium. RNAcentral describes it as "partial 16S ribosomal RNA". It matches the Rfam family "Bacterial small subunit ribosomal RNA", at positions 28 to 507 of the family's 1533-position model. The record is from RNAcentral.